GGGAGUGUGGCUUAGUGGCAGGAGCAUUUGCUUUGUGUACAGAAGGUUCCAGGUUCAAACCCCACCAUCUCCA
This 73-nucleotide transfer RNA is filed under the name Sphaerodactylus townsendi. RNAcentral describes it as "tRNA-Thr". The record is from RNAcentral. Lineage: Eukaryota; Metazoa; Chordata; Lepidosauria; Squamata; Sphaerodactylidae.